RNAcentral lists this ribosomal RNA (532 nucleotides) under uncultured bacterium. RNAcentral's name for it is "bacterial SSU rRNA". It matches the Rfam family "Bacterial small subunit ribosomal RNA", at positions 9 to 532 of the family's 1533-position model. The record is from RNAcentral.
GAGUUUGAUCCUGGCUCAGAUUGAACGCUGGCGGUAUGCUUAACACAUGCAAGUCGAACGGUAACAGAACUAGCUUGCUAGUUGCUGACGAGUGGCGGACGGGUGAGUAACGCGUAGGAAUCUGCCUGAUAGCGGGGGACAACUCGGAGAAAUCCGAGCUAAUACCGCAUACGCCCUACGGGGGAAAGACGGGGAUCUUCGGACCUGUCACUAUCAGAUGAGCCUGCGUUAGAUUAGCUUGUUGGUAGGGUAAUGGCCUACCAAGGCGACGAUCUAUAACUGGUCUGAGAGGAUGACCAGUCACACUGGGACUGAGACACGGCCCAGACUCCUACGGGAGGCAGCAGUGGGGAAUAUUGGACAAUGGGCGCAAGCCUGAUCCAGCAAUACCGCGUGUGUGAAGAAGGCCUUAGGGUUGUAAAGCACUUUCAAUUGGGAAGAAAAGCAUUCGGUUAAUACCCGAGUGUCUUGACGGUACCUUUACAAGAAGCACCGGCUAACUCCGUGCCAGCAGCCGCGGUAAUAAGGGCGA